CGGCAAGUUGGAAGUGAAAUCUAUGGGCUCAACCCAUAAAUUGCUUUCAAAACAGCUGGCCUUGAGUAGUGCAGAGGUAGGCGGAAUUCCCGGUGUAGCGGUGGAAUGCGUAGAUAUCGGGAGGAACACCAGUGGCGAAGGCGGCCUGCUGGGCACCAACUGACGCUGAGGCUCGAAAGCAUGGGUAGCAAACAGGAUUAGAUACCCUGGUAGUCCAUGCCGUAAACGAUGAUUACUAGGUGUUGGAGGAUUGACCCCUUCAGUGCCGCAGUUAACACAAUAAGUAAUCCACCUGGGGAGUACGACCGCAAGGUUGAAACUCAAAGGAAUUGACGGGGGCCCGCACAAGCAGUGGAGUAUGUGGUUUAAUUCGAAGCAACGCGAAGAACCUUACCAGGUCUUGACAUCCGAUGCAUAGCACAGAGAUGUGUGAAGUCCUUCGGGACAUCGAGACAGGUGGUGCAUGGUUGUCGUCAGCUCGUGUCGUGAGAUGUUGGGUUAAGUCCCGCAACGAGCGCAACCCUUAUUGCCAGUUACUACGCAAGAGGACUCUGGCGAGACUGCCGUUGACAAAACGGAGGAAGGUGGGGAUGACGUCAAAUCAUCAUGCCCUUUAUGACCUGGGCUACACACGUACUACAAUGGCGUUUAACAAAGAGAAGCAAUACCGCGAGGUGGAGCAAAACUCAAAAACAACGUCUCAGUUCAGAUUGCAGGCUGCAACUCGCCUGCAUGAAGUCGGAAUUGCUAGUAAUCGCGGAUCAGCAUGCCGCGGUGAAUACGUUCCCGGGCCUUGUACACACCGCCCGUCACACCAUGAGAGCCGGGGGGACCCGAAGUCCGUAGUCUAACCGUAAGGAGGACGCGGCCGAAGGUAAAACUGGUGAUUGGGGUGAAGUCGUAACAAGGUAACCA
This 915-nucleotide ribosomal RNA is filed under the name uncultured bacterium. RNAcentral describes it as "bacterial SSU rRNA". It matches the Rfam family "Bacterial small subunit ribosomal RNA", at positions 581 to 1502 of the family's 1533-position model. The record is from RNAcentral.